GGUGACUUGUAUGAAGGAUUGGAUGAAAUAUAAACUGUCUUUUAAUUAAAAAUAGAAUUUAAUUUUUUAAUUAAAAAGUUAAAAUAAUUUAAAAAGACGAGAAGACCCUAUAGAGUUUUAUAAAUAAUUUAAUUAAGAUUAUUUGUAAGAAAUUGAAAUUAAAAUUAAUUUAUUUAUUAUAUUGGGGUGAUAAAAAAAUAAAUUUAACUUUUUUUUUUACAAGACAUUUAUAAGUGGUUAAAUGAUCCAGUAAUAUUGAUUAUAAGAAAAAAUUACCUUAGGGAUAACAGCGUAAUUUUUUUUUUUA
This 307-nucleotide ribosomal RNA is filed under the name Busseola sp. BUCAG3703. RNAcentral's name for it is "partial 16S large subunit ribosomal RNA". The record is from RNAcentral. Lineage: Eukaryota; Metazoa; Arthropoda; Insecta; Lepidoptera; Noctuidae.